Molecule: ribosomal RNA, 361 nt
Filed under: Pleosporales sp.
Lineage: Eukaryota; Fungi; Ascomycota; Dothideomycetes; Pleosporales
Description: partial small subunit ribosomal RNA
Source: RNAcentral
UGUGACGUGGGCGACACCACCUGGUACAGGGAACGCUGGAGGCACCUAAAUAGGUGCCUUGGCCAACCCUGUGGCGAGCUUAGGUAGCGCUGAGCCGUCGCAACGCGCGCAAAGGGGUGGGCCAUUAGUUAUAUUAAUGGCUUAAGGUACGUGCUAAUCCCUUGGGUAACCAAGCCUGUGUGAUGAGACCCGACAGGUCAAGGCACAUGGGGAUGAUUCAACCUUUGAAUCAUCGGUCAAUGCAGGAUGAAUUGGUUUCUUCCUGCUUUGAAUAGAUGCUGUGAUGCCCUUAGAUGUUCUGGGCCGCACGCGCGCUACACUGACAGAGCCAACGAGUACAUCACCUUGGCCGAAAGGUCUG